RNAcentral lists this ribosomal RNA (441 nucleotides) under uncultured bacterium. RNAcentral's name for it is "partial 16S ribosomal RNA". It matches the Rfam family "Bacterial small subunit ribosomal RNA", at positions 338 to 795 of the family's 1533-position model. The record is from RNAcentral.
CCUACGGGUGGCAGCAGUGGGGAAUAUUGCACAAUGGGGGAAACCCUGAUGCAGCAACGCCGCGUGAGUGAAGACGGUUUUCGGAUCGUAAAACUCUGUUCUCAGUGAAGAAUAAUGACGGUAGCUAAGGAGCAAGCCACGGCGAACUACGUCCCAGCAGCCGCGGUAAUACGUAGGUGGCAAGCGUUGUCCGGAAUUACUGGGUGUAAAGGGAGCGCAGGCGGGAUGGCAAGUCAGCUGUGAAAACUACGGGCUUAACUUGUAGACUGCAUUUGAAAUUGGUUUUCUUGAGUGCAGGAGAGGUUGGCGGAAGUCCGAGUGUAGCGGUGAAAUGCGUAGAUAUUCGGAGGAACACCAGUGGCGGAGGCGGCCAACUGGGCUUUAACUGACGCUGAGGCUCGAAAGUGUGGGGAGCAAACAGGAUUAGAUACCCGAGUAGUC